RNAcentral lists this transfer RNA (73 nucleotides) under Canis lupus familiaris (dog). It matches the Rfam family "tRNA". From Rfam's summary of the family: Transfer RNA (tRNA) molecules are approximately 80 nucleotides in length. The record is from Rfam by way of RNAcentral. Lineage: Eukaryota; Metazoa; Chordata; Mammalia; Carnivora; Canidae. RNAcentral also lists the same sequence under 2 other names.
GCCUGGCUAGCUCGGCUGGUGGAGCAUGCGACUUUUGAUCUUAGGGUUGUGAGUUUGAGCCCCACGUCAAGUA